This is a long non-coding RNA of Gorilla gorilla gorilla (western lowland gorilla), 1976 nucleotides long. RefSeq lists it as uncharacterized. The record is from RefSeq and is a predicted model, not a curated record. Lineage: Eukaryota; Metazoa; Chordata; Mammalia; Primates; Hominidae. The transcript is spliced from 2 exons.
CAGGAGGCCGGACAGGCAAAGUGGUUUCCUCCAGGGCAGGACUCUUUGUCUGCAGACCUACUUACAGCCACCGAGCGUCAGAAGGCCCAUCUCCUGGGGAAUGGAAAAGUGCCCAACCGCUGGGAGGCCUCAAGCUGGAGAGCUACGGGGGAAGCCGGGCAGGUGUGGGGCUGGGAGAAGCUACUAAGCCCCAGGCAGGGGCUGGAAGGGCGACUGGAGAGCCAAGCCCCUGCGAGUGAGGAGAGAGAAUGGCCAAAGGCAGAGCCACAGGGUAGACCUUUGCACCUUGGGAGGAGAGAUUUGGAGAAUGGUGCUGCCUGGGCCCGUUUGCCCCCACCAAACCGCAGGGGUACCAUGGCCCUGACCUGCGUUCAGAGGGCCGAGUCAAUGUCACAGGAAGGGGAAGAGACAUGUGCCCACAGACCCUGUGGUCAUGGAGGGGGUGGAAGAUCUCUGGAGGGCAGCAGGGCCACAGCAAGGCUCUGAGGUCCUGAGUCUUCUCCGUCCGUGGACUUAAACUCUGCGUGUUUACAGCUGUUCUGUGCCUGGGUCCAGGCUCUAGUGAGAAAUAAACUGCCUUCAGAGCCAGGUGACAGCAAAAGAAAUUUUAUUCCCAUUUUCUAGGGGACAGAAACAGAGCCCAGUGGUGCCUAGCAUGUUUCUGGCAAGGGUAGUGAAAAGACCACUUCCUUUUGGGGGAAGUCUUUCAAUUAAGAAAAACACACGCAACUCCUGGGCGUGGCUCCACCUGUACCCAGGACAGGGCCUACCACUCCAGGGGCUCCCAGGCUGGAUUUUCCACCAGAGCAGUCUUGGGGGCAGGAGCCUGUUAGAAAUGCAGAUCCCCAGGGACCUGCAGCGGUCUGGGCAGUACCUCCAACACAGCUGCUUAAGGGGAGGCAGUCCGGCCCUCAUCUGGGAGCGCUGUGCUGACGCUGACUGCACGCUAGGGCUCUCGGGGUUGGGUGGACAGGGUUUCUCCGAGAGAUGGGCUCCCAGCAGCCAGAGCACACUGUGGGUGUCAAGCUGCUGGUGGAAAGCAAGCUGUUCCCUGAGACCAUGACAGGGUGAAGGUGGGAAUCACCAGCCCCCACACUCACCAAGAAAUGCUUUUGCUACAUGCUGGGGCUUUUUUCUUUUUUUGAGAGGGAGUCUCACUCCGUCGCCCAGGCUGGAGUACAGUGGUGCGAUCUCGGCUCACUGCAACCUCUGCCUCCUUGGUUCAAGCGAUUCUCAUGCCUCAGCCUCCUGAGUAGCUGGCAUUACAGGCACACACCACUAUGCCCAGCUAAUUUUUGUAUUUUUAGUAGAGAUGGGGUUUUGCCAUGUUGGCCAGGCUGGUCUCGAACUCUUGACCUCAAGUGAUCCACCCACCUUGGCCUCCCAAAGUGCUGGGAUAAUAGGCAUGAGCCACCAUGCCCGGCCAUGCUGGGGCUUUUCUAAGAACACAAGCACACCGGAGGGUAAGACAAGAUUCUGGAGAGGCACAGACCCAGAAAGCCAGGGGCACACAGGAGCCUCGCCAGCGAGGGCGGCACAGGCCAUGCAUGCGGACCCUCAAAUCUCAUGUGGAGGCUGCAUCGAGCUCAGUGCCAAGAGGAAGCAGAGCAAAGCAUGUGACCACCUCUCUGAAGCCAUCUUUGUGGACAAAUGAUGUAGGAACUCAAAAAAAUGCAGGCUUGGCUAGGCGAAGUGGCUCAUGCCUGCAAUCCAAGCACUUUGGGAGGAUCGCUUGAGCCCAGGAGUUUGAGACCAGUCUGGACAACAUAGCAAGACCUUGUCUCUACAAAAAAUAAAAAAAUUAGCUGGGCAUGGUGGCACAUGCCUAUAGUUCCUGCUACCUGGGAGGCUGAGGUAGAAGGAUCCCUUAAGCCCAGGAGUUCGAGGCUGCAAUGAGUUAUGAUUGCACCACUGCCCUCGAGCUUGGGCAACAGAGACCAACCCUGUCUCAAUUAAAAAAAAAAAAAAAAAAAAAA